GCUCGCCGAGGCGGAGGGGCGGGGCCGGGGAGGGGCGGAGAGGCAGGCGGGCGAGCGGGCGGGGACCGGGGAGGGGCGGCGCCGCCCCGGGGCGCACCUGGCCGAGCCGGCUGAUCCGCUGGCGAACCACGUAGAUGUUGGACGCCAUGCUGAGCGCCGCGCCCCCUCCCAGAAGCCCGGCCCCGCGCGCCGGCCCCUGCCGCGCAUGCGCCCCCUGCCCGCGCCGGGACCUCAGCCGGGAGCUCCUCCGCCCCUCACCCCGAAGCCCGGAGAGCCGCUCCUCUCGCGCAUGCGCACCCUGCUCGCGCAGGGCCCCUGCCGGGGGCGCGUCCGCCCCUCGCCCCGAAGCCCGGCGCGCCGGCUCCUCCCGCGCAUGCGCGCUCUGCCUGCGCGGUUGUCGGCUUUCCCGCAGGCCGGCAGCCUCCGCCGCUGCCCUUCGCGGUUCCCCGCUCUUAGGUAGAUGUCUAAAGCAUCUACACAGACGAAGCCGCGCUUCCGGGCUGCUCUUCGGGGCCUUUUAUGAAAAUGCUGGAAAGUUCUUGCAGGACCACAGAUUUCGGGCGUCUCUGCCGUAGGGUCAUAGGCAGGAGGGGAGCAAAGAUGAUUUAGAUGGAGGGCAUCCUGUUGAGAAGCCACCCUGAUGAAGGUGCUCCUGCUGAGCUGUUCAUUAUCCUAAAGAAGGAUUGUCAAUUACAGACCUCACCAGGAAGAAGUCCUCAACAGGAAGCAUCCUCAAUGACAGACCCCAACAGGAAGAGAUGUACAUUGCAUCCCCAACAAGAAAUCGACUGCCCUGGACACAGCCAAUGAGAAACCACCACAGCCCUGAACCCUCACUUUCCAACAGUGGAUUUUCUUCAAAACAACCACUCCCAACUUCCUCCUUUUUCUCUACAUAAUAACGUUCCUCUCCUUUGCUUGCUGGACUUGCCUGUGGCUUUUGCUAUAGCUGGCUUGUCCUCAAUUGCAAUUCCUUUGCUAUUCCUGAA
This is a long non-coding RNA of Equus quagga, 989 nucleotides long. RefSeq lists it as uncharacterized. The record is from RefSeq and is a predicted model, not a curated record. NCBI's taxonomy places the organism in Eukaryota, Metazoa, Chordata, Mammalia, Perissodactyla, Equidae. The transcript has 3 exons.